Molecule: ribosomal RNA, 712 nt
Filed under: Staphylococcus aureus
Lineage: Bacteria; Bacillati; Bacillota; Bacilli; Caryophanales; Staphylococcaceae
Description: partial 23S ribosomal RNA
Rfam family: Bacterial large subunit ribosomal RNA
Source: RNAcentral
AAAUUCCAAUCGAACCUGGAGAUAGCUGGUUCUCUCCGAAAUAGCUUUAGGGCUAGCCUCAAGUGAUGAUUAUUGGAGGUAGAGCACUGUUUGGACGAGGGGCCCCUCUCGGGUUACCGAAUUCAGACAAACUCCGAAUGCCAAUUAAUUUAACUUGGGAGUCAGAACAUGGGUGAUAAGGUCCGUGUUCGAAAGGGAAACAGCCCAGACCACCAGCUAAGGUCCCAAAAUAUAUGUUAAGUGGAAAAGGAUGUGGCGUUGCCCAGACAACUAGGAUGUUGGCUUAGAAGCAGCCAUCAUUUAAAGAGUGCGUAAUAGCUCACUAGUCGAGUGACACUGCGCCGAAAAUGUACCGGGGCUAAACAUAUUACCGAAGCUGUGGAUUGUCCUUUGGACAAUGGUAGGAGAGCGUUCUAAGGGCGUUGAAGCAUGAUCGUAAGGACAUGUGGAGCGCUUAGAAGUGAGAAUGCCGGUGUGAGUAGCGAAAGACGGGUGAGAAUCCCGUCCACCGAUUGACUAAGGUUUCCAGAGGAAGGCUCGUCCGCUCUGGGUUAGUCGGGUCCUAAGCUGAGGCCGACAGGCGUAGGCGAUGGAUAACAGGUUGAUAUUCCUGUACCACCUAUAAUCGUUUUAAUCGAUGGGGGGACGCAGUAGGAUAGGCGAAGCGUGCGAUUGGAUUGCACGUCUAAGCAGUAAGGCUGAGUAUUAGGCA